CAGUGCAUUCAUCCAUAAAGUAAAAAGCGCUACUAAAAGUUCUAUACAGUGUAGUGUUUCCUACUUUAUGGACGAGUGGACUGU
Molecule: microRNA precursor, 84 nt
Organism: Astyanax mexicanus (Mexican tetra)
Lineage: Eukaryota; Metazoa; Chordata; Actinopteri; Characiformes; Acestrorhamphidae
Rfam family: mir-142 microRNA precursor family
Source: Rfam